CAAUAGCGUAUAUUAAAGUUGUUGCAGUUAAAAAGCUCGUAGUUGGUUUUCUGGUAGGAGUGACCGUUCCGAACUUGAUUGUUCGUGUAUUGUGUUUUCUCCAGCCAUCCUUGUGGAGAACUUUUCUUGCAUUAAUUUGUAGGGAUUGGGACCCGCAUCGUUUACUGUGAAAAAAUUAGAGUGUUUAAAGCAGGCAAUCGCUUGAAUACAUUAGCAUGGAAUAAUAAGAUAGGACUUUGGUACUAUUUUGUUGGUUUGCAUACCAAAUUAAUGAUCAACAGGAACAGUUUGAGGAUAUUCGUAUGAACAUGUCAGAGGUGAAAUUCUUGGAUUUUGAUCAGACGAACUACUGCGAAAGCAUUUAUCAAGGAUGUUUUCAUUAA
This 383-nucleotide ribosomal RNA is filed under the name uncultured eukaryote. Its description in RNAcentral is "partial 18S ribosomal RNA". It matches the Rfam family "Eukaryotic small subunit ribosomal RNA", at positions 592 to 976 of the family's 1831-position model. The record is from RNAcentral.